Molecule: ribosomal RNA, 245 nt
Filed under: uncultured bacterium
Lineage: Bacteria
Description: partial 16S ribosomal RNA
Rfam family: Bacterial small subunit ribosomal RNA
Source: RNAcentral
UACAGAGGUCCCAAGCGUUGUUCGGAUUUACUGGGCGUAAAGGGUGCGUAGGUGGUCGGAUAAGUCCGGUGUGAAAUCUCCGAGCUUAACUCGGAAAUGGCAUUGGAUACUAUUCGGCUCGAGGAUUGGAGGGGGGACUGGAAUUCUCGGUGUAGCAGUGAAAUGCGUAGAUAUCGAGAGGAACACCAGUGGCGAAGGCGAGUCCCUGGACAACUCCUGACACUAAGGCACGAAAGCUAGGGGAG